Arachis ipaensis is the source of this 546-nucleotide non-coding RNA. The record is from RefSeq and is a predicted model, not a curated record. NCBI's taxonomy places the organism in Eukaryota, Viridiplantae, Streptophyta, Magnoliopsida, Fabales, Fabaceae.
UCACAUAAUGUCAUAUUAGUAAAAAUAAUAACUUCUUAUAUUAACUGUGUGAAAUAAUUAUGCAAAAAAAUAGAUUUGAUUAAUUAAAAUAUAGAUAAAAUAUUUUUCACGAUCAAAUUAUAAAAAUUAAACUCAUAUAUAGAACAAAACAAAUGAGAAAUCGCCUUUAAAAAAAAGAAAAAAAAAAAAGAUUGAGAGCAGUUUGAUGUACAAACAACCCGCACCAUUGCCAGGAUUCGGAAAAUGACCACCCCAAGAAAAGAAAAUCCUUUGGUCACAUGUAACAUCACUGCAUUCAUGGGCAGUGAGCGUUAACUUAUAAAUAGAUUCCUCUGAAGGGUGUGAUGAGCAUCCUACAGGCCACGGCCACAAAGAAAUCACAAAUUCACAAGGCUUUGUAUUCCCCCUUCUUUUUCUACCAUGGCUUUACUUUUCUUUUGCCCCUAGUCAUUUUCCUGAGUGGUGUUUCAGCCAUUGAAUUAGCAAGUGAGCCAAUAUCUCCAUCUCAUGCAUUCCAAGAAAACAAACCAAUAGCCCCAACUCCAU